RNAcentral lists this non-coding RNA (45 nucleotides) under Schistosoma curassoni. Lineage: Eukaryota; Metazoa; Platyhelminthes; Trematoda; Strigeidida; Schistosomatidae. The record is from RNAcentral.
AUUCAGCUGACGAGUUCCAAAUAGGACGAAACGUGCGUCCUGGAU